Molecule: long non-coding RNA, 969 nt
Organism: Lycium barbarum (goji berry)
Lineage: Eukaryota; Viridiplantae; Streptophyta; Magnoliopsida; Solanales; Solanaceae
Exons: 4
Source: RefSeq, a predicted model, not a curated record
CCCUCAAUUAAUCAUCUUUCCCCUUUCUCUCUCUCUUCCUCUCACCUUCUCUCUCCCCCAUCUCUCUCUAACCCUAAUAAUUAACGAGCUGCCACAUCGUGGUCGGAAAAUACAGUGACGGUCGCCGCCGUCUACAUUGCCAUCGCCGUCCACGGCCUUUUUCCUUUCUCUCUCUUUUGAUCUCACGUUUUCUCUCCCCUUCUCUCUAACCCUAAUAACGCCACCUCCUAGUCACGGUCGGCACCUGCCAGUCACCAUCGCCGCCGUAUACAGUUGACGUCGCCGGCCUAUGUGACAAUUUCAGGAUGGAGGUACGCCAAUUGAUAUUUGGAAGUCAAGGUAUUCAACUUCUUACUAUGGAUGCAGUGAGAGAGGCCCUCGUUUUGCUUCUGCUGUGAGUGUGCGUUCUUCAAAUGGAUAUCUACUUAUUGCAACUAGCGGAGGACUCAACCAACAAAGAACUGGAAUGGCAGGUGAAAAGAGGAGUAAGAAAACAAAAAAAGCUAAGGAGACGAGGGUUCCCAGAGACCACCAAAAAACCUUAUGAUUAGAAAUAGAAGCCCGUCGCCAAGUCUCCCAUCAUGCGGCGCUCCAUUGCCACGUCUUCCAAUACCGAGUCGUUUGAUAGAGUGUCAAACACACAAAGGCAUGUUUGAAUGUUAAUGUUGUGGUGAAUUUGUGGAUUGUGUAAGUGUUUUGUGGAUGUUUGCGAGAGGUGAAGUAGUCUAAUGUUGUAGACUAACUUAGUGUAGAUCUACUAGUUUAAUGUUUUGUGGAUGUUUGCAAAGGUUGUGAAGUAGUUUAAUGUUGUGUAGAUGUUUGCGAAUGUUGAAGUAGCUUAAUGUCUCUUCGGAAUGUUUGAAUGACGUUUUGAUUCAACUUUGAAGUAGUUUCGAAUUGAAUUUGACGUAUUGUUGGUUGUAAUAUAUGUGUUUGUUGAAGUAGCUUAAUGUUUUAUGUUUUGCAGUA